Molecule: long non-coding RNA, 206 nt
Filed under: Physcomitrium patens
Lineage: Eukaryota; Viridiplantae; Streptophyta; Bryopsida; Funariales; Funariaceae
Description: long non-coding RNA (PPAT_LNC009990)
Source: RNAcentral
UACCUUGAAAUAUAUAAUUUAAUUCCUCCAUAGUACCUACAAAUCCCACUUCUUCAAAUGCUCUUGAAAUAAAUUCAUUUUCAUUCAAUUCUUUAUUUUUUUAAUUUUUGCUCAAUAUUUUUAAUAUAUUAUUUAUCCAUAUUUUUCACCUUCUCAAUAGUCUUAAAAGACAAUAUACAAUCUUGUGUCAAUCCAAUAAGUGCAAU